AAUAAAUACCGGGUAGUCCACGCCGUAAACGAUGAGUGCUAAGUGUUGGGGGGUUUCCGCCCCUCAGUGCUGCAGCUAACGCAUUAAGCACUCCGCCUGGGGAGUACGGUCGCAAGACUGAAACUCAAAGGAAUUGACGGGGGCCCGCACAAGCGGUGGAGCAUGUGGUUUAAUUCGAAGCAGCGCGAAGAACCUUACCAGGUCUUGACAUCCCGGUGACCACUAUGGAGACAUAGUUUCCCCUUCGGGGGCAACGGUGACAGGUGGUGCAUGGUUGUCGUCAGCUCGUGUCGUGAGAUGUUGGGUUAAGUCCCGCAACGAGCGCAACCCUUAUUCUUAGUUGCCAUCAUUCAGUUGGGCACUCUAAGGAGACUGCCGGUGAUAAACCGGAGGAAGGUGGGGAUGACGUCAAAUCAUCAUGCCCCUUAUGACCUGGGCUACACACGUGCUACAAUGGACGGUACAAACGGUUGCCAACCCGCGAGGGGGAGCUAAUCCGAUAAAACCGUUCUCAGUUCGGAUUGUAGGCUGCAACUCGCCUACAUGAAC
This 549-nucleotide ribosomal RNA is filed under the name uncultured bacterium. RNAcentral's name for it is "bacterial SSU rRNA". It matches the Rfam family "Bacterial small subunit ribosomal RNA", at positions 777 to 1325 of the family's 1533-position model. The record is from RNAcentral.